GACGAACGCUGGCGGCGUGCCUAAUACAUGCAAGUUGAGCGAUGAAGCUUGGUGCUUGCACCAAUUUGAAGAGCAGCGAACGGGUGAGUAACGCGUGGGGAAUCUGCCUUUGAGCGGGGGACAACAUUUGGAAACGAAUGCUAAUACCGCAUAACAACUUUAAACAUAAGUUUUAAGUUUGAAAGGUGCAAUUGCAUCACUCAAAGAUGAUCCCGCGUUGUAUUAGCUAGUUGGUGAGGUAAAGGCUCACCAAGGCGAUGAUACAUAGCCGACCUGAGAGGGUGAUCGGCCACAUUGGGACUGAGACACGGCCCAAACGCCUACGGGAGGCAGCAGUAGGGAAUCUUCGGCAAUGGACGAAAGUCUGACCGAGCAACGCCGCGUGAGGGAAGAAGGUUUUCGGAUCGUAAAACUCUGUUGGUAGAGAAGAACGUUGGUGAGAGUGGAAAGCUCAUCAAGUGACGGUAACUACCCAGAAAGGGACGGCUAACUACGUG
This 497-nucleotide ribosomal RNA is filed under the name uncultured bacterium. RNAcentral's name for it is "partial 16S ribosomal RNA". It matches the Rfam family "Bacterial small subunit ribosomal RNA", at positions 28 to 507 of the family's 1533-position model. The record is from RNAcentral.